UUAAACUACAGGUUGAACACAUGGUCAACAGUCUGAAAUCAUGCCAAAGCGCAUGAUACAACUCUUGAUGUUUUUGUUUGUUACAGCAUUGUAAAGUAUUGAAAAGGAAGAAUCAUAGGCAUUUAGUGUGAAUCAUGGUCAGAGUGAGUGGAGGGACUGCUGAAAGCAGCUUCAGUUUGUCAUGAUAUUACGAAAGGUGAGAUGUAAGUUAAAAGUGAAUGAAAAGAUGAAGAAACUUUAUGCAACAUUUCCUGCUGUACAGAUAUUCAGCACAUCGUGAUCUGGCUUUGUAAUGGAGUCAUCUUCUGUCAGGCAGGAACAGCUUCUCCCUAUCUAUUCUGUACAGCCUGCUUUUGAUUUUGAAAACACUUAUAAAAGUAGCAGGAAAAUUCAACAAGGAAACAAGAGUGAGGUCCUGCUAAUUAAACUUCAACGUGAAGUACAGAAGAAAAUAUCACUUGAAGUAGUUGAAGCAAUCGACCGCAACGUUGGCAGUGUUAUUCUUUUUGCCUCUUUCUUCUGAUAACUGAGCUGAAGACUGCUAUAGUGUCAGGAACGUGGAUAGGAUCUUUACAGUAAAGGGCCUGAGGUAUAAGGCCAAUGUGUUCCUGCUAAAGCAGCCAAAGCCACUCUCCUAAUGUUCAAAGCUUCAGACAUUGGAGUCACAACCAGCUCUGACACUUAAGUCACCCAAAGGGACGAUCGCUGCCUUUUGAGAUAGCAAUGAAGAGGACUUCGACAAGAUCAAAGUAGACCUUUCCCUUAACAACUUCAUUAUAGUCAAGGAUCGGAACGUAAGCACUAAUGACAAUGGCAUAUUGGUUAUGGCUAAGCUAAACAUGCAGCGUCAUUUACACAAUUGAGGAAUUCUGCCAGUGUAUUUAAGAUGCUAUUCCAGGUAGCAAAAUUAAUUCCAUGGACAUGAGGACCGUUGCAUGGAAUUGAGUUUAUUUUAUUAUAGCCUGUCAAAACCUAAUUGCUAUAUCCUUAAGUAUAUUGAUUCAAAUUGUAUUUUUAUGUGUAAUAUAACCACCAAAGCAUGAUGAAUAAGUUCAGUUGGAGAUAACAAAGUGUGAAGCUGGAUGAACACAGCAGAACAAGCAGCACCUUAGGAGCACAAAAGCUGACGUUUCGGGCCUAGACGCUUCAUCAGAAAAGGGGGAGGGGGAGAGGGUUCUGGAAUAAAUAGGGAGAGAGGGGGAGGCGGAUCAAAGUUGGAUGAAAGAGAAGAUAGGUGGAGAGGAGACAGACAAGUUAAAGGGGCGGGGAUAGAGCCAGUGGAGGUGAGUGUAGGUGGGAAGGUAGGGAGGGGAUAGGUCAGUCCAGGGAGGACGGACAGGUCAAGGGCGCAGGUUGAGGUUAGUAGGUAGGAAAUGGAGGCGUGGCUUGAGGUGGGAGGAGGGGAUAGGUGAGACGAAGAACAUGUUAGGGAGGCGGGAACAAGCUGGACUGGUUUUGGAAUGCAGCGGAGGGAGGGGAGAUUUUGAAGCUAGUGAAAUCCACAUUGAUACCAUUGGGCUGCAGGGUUCCCAAGCGGAAUAUGAAUUGCUGUUCCUGCAACCUUCGGGUGGCAUUGUUGUGGCACUGCAGGAGGCCCAGGAUGGACAUAUUGUCUAAGGAAUGGGAGAGAGAGUUGAAAUGGUUCGCAACUGGGAGGUGCAGUUUAUUGCGAACCGAGCAAAGGUGUUCUGCAAAGCGGUCUCCAAGCCUCCGCUUGGUUUCCCCGAUGUAGAGGAAGCCACACCGGGUGCAACGGAUACAAUAUACCACAUUGGCAGAUGUGCAGGUGAACAUCUGCUUGAUGUGGAAAGUCUUCUUGGGGCCUCGGAUGGGGGUGA
Long non-coding RNA from Stegostoma tigrinum, 1838 nucleotides. RefSeq lists it as uncharacterized. The record is from RefSeq and is a predicted model, not a curated record. The transcript is spliced from 5 exons. NCBI's taxonomy places the organism in Eukaryota, Metazoa, Chordata, Chondrichthyes, Orectolobiformes, Stegostomatidae.